This 253-nucleotide ribosomal RNA is filed under the name uncultured bacterium. RNAcentral describes it as "partial 16S ribosomal RNA". It matches the Rfam family "Bacterial small subunit ribosomal RNA", at positions 524 to 776 of the family's 1533-position model. The record is from RNAcentral.
UACGUAGGGUGCAAGCGUUAAUCGGAAUUACUGGGCGUAAAGCGUGCGCAGGCGGUUUUGUAAGGCUGUCGUGAAAUCCCCGGGCUUAACCUGGGAAUUGCGCUUGAAACUAGCGGGCUUGAGUGCGGCAGAGGGGGGUGGAAUUCCACGUGUAGCAGUGAAAUGCGUAGAGAUGUGGAGGAACACCGAUGGCGAAGGCAGCCCCCUGGGUCGACACUGACGCUCAUGCACGAAAGCGUGGGGAGCAAACAGG